Molecule: ribosomal RNA, 400 nt
Filed under: uncultured bacterium
Lineage: Bacteria
Description: bacterial SSU rRNA
Rfam family: Bacterial small subunit ribosomal RNA
Source: RNAcentral
GGUGAACGCUGGCGGCAGGCCUAACACAUGCAAGUCGAGCGGCAGCGCGUCCGACCACCCUCGGGUGGUCGGAUGGCGGCGAGCGGCGGACGGGUGAGGAAUGCAUCGGAAUCUGCCUCGUUGUGGGGGAUAACGUAGGGAAACUUACGCUAAUACCGCAUACGACCUACGGGUGAAAGUGGGGGACCUUCGGGCCUCACGCGAUGAGAUGAGCCGAUGCCGGAUUAGCUAGUUGGCGGGGUAAAGGCCCACCAAGGCGACGAUCUGUAGCGGGUCUGAGAGGAUGAUCCGCCACACUGGGACUGAGACACGGCCCAGACUCCUACGGGAGGCAGCAGUGGGGAAUUUUGGACAAUGGGCGCAAGCCUGAUCCAGCCAUGCCGCGUGCGGGACGAAGGCC